RNAcentral lists this ribosomal RNA (489 nucleotides) under uncultured archaeon. RNAcentral describes it as "bacterial SSU rRNA". It matches the Rfam family "Archaeal small subunit ribosomal RNA", at positions 858 to 1349 of the family's 1478-position model. The record is from RNAcentral.
GAGGAAUUGGCGGGGGAGCACCGCAACGGGAGGAGCGUGCGGUUUAAUUGGAUUCAACACCGGAAAACUCACCAAGGGCGACUAUUACAUGAAAGCCAGGCUAAUGACCUUGCUUGAUUUUUAGAGAGGUGGUGCAUGGCCGUCGUCAGUUCGUACCGUAAGGCGUUCUCUUAAGUGAGAUAACGAACGAGACCCUCAUCUAUAAUUGCUACUCCAUUCUCCGGAAUGGAGGCACAUUAUCGAGACCGCUGGCGCUAAGUCAGAGGAAGGAGAGGUCAACGGUAGGUCAGUAUGCCCCGAAUCUCUUGGGCUACACGCGCGCUACAAAGGGCGGGACAAUGGGCUACGACGCCGAAAGGCGAAGUCAAUCUCGAAACCCGUCCGUAGUUCGGAUUGAGGCUUGUAACUCAGCCUCAUGAAGCUGGAUUCCGUAGUAAUCGCGAAUCAAAAACUCGCGGUGAAUAUGCCCCUGCUCCUUGCACACACCGC